UAGUCCACGCCCUAAACGAUGUUCACUGGAUGUGUGAUAUUAAUUGCGCAUCUGAGCGAAAGCAUUAAGUGAACCACCUGGGGAGUACGUCGGCAACGAUGAAACUCAAAGGAAUUGACGGGGGCCUGCACAAGCGGUGGAGCAUGUGGUUUAAUUCGACGCAACGCGCAGAACCUUACCAGCUUUGACAUCCUGGUCGCGGAUUUGGGAGACCAUUUCCUUCAGUUCGGCUGGACCAGUGACAGGUGCUGCAUGGCUGUCGUCAGCUCGUGUCGUGAGAUGUUGGGUUAAGUCCCGCAACGAGCGCAACCCUCAUCCUUAGUUGCCAGCAUUUAGUUGGGCACUCUAAGGAAACUGCCGGUGAUAAGCCGGAGGAAGGUGGGGAUGACGUCAAGUCCUCAUGGCCCUUACAAGCUGGGGCUACACACGUGCUACAAUGGCGAUGACAGUGAGCAGCUAACCC
This 463-nucleotide ribosomal RNA is filed under the name uncultured bacterium. RNAcentral describes it as "bacterial SSU rRNA". It matches the Rfam family "Bacterial small subunit ribosomal RNA", at positions 791 to 1256 of the family's 1533-position model. The record is from RNAcentral.